CCCCUCGGCGCUGUUUUUCGCUGCUACCCCCUUCCCCCACCACUGCCCCUGGCACGUUUGGGCUAAACCCCCUCCACUCCGCCUGCGCUGGAGAAAUGUUCCUUGUACCAGAAGGAUGCAAGGACUGGGGGAGAAGCCAAUUUUCCAGUGUGUACAUCAGAAUAAGCAAAGGAGUCAUGAAUGACUUUCUGGCCGGAGAGAGAGAAGGUGUGCUCUGUGAGGUCCUAACAAAAGGUGGCUUGUGGCAGAUUUUUACCUCCUUCAAGCUCUAAUUAGCUGUAUACCAAGCACACCAUGGAGAACAAGCCUUUCAGAUCAAAGAUCAAUUUGCUCAUUAAGAAAAACAGUGAUUUCAGCUCAUCCUGUACAUGGUGGGAAAAAAAUCCAGUGCCAGAGGAUUCUCAACCAACUGACACAAUGACCAAAUUGUUUCAGUCGUUGUAUGAACUGAAUUCAGUCCAACAAAGACCUAUUAAGCUGGGCAACAAUACUUUCUGGGGUGCUACCGGGAACUGCAGAGGAGGUAGGAGGCCAGAAGGCCCUGCACUUGGCUGCCAUGAACAAGACCUCAGAGAGCAUCCUGGCUCCCGGCCAAGGAGGAGAUUAAGUCACAGAAACUCAGAAAGGCAAGGAACGAUGCCUAUCGACACCCCUAAAGAGAGCAAGAUUGCUGGGGAGUGAAGGACAUUUUCAAUUGUUGCUCUUUGUCUUGACUCAAAAAAAAAGGUUUCUUAGAAAUGCAGUGCCCCUGAG
Molecule: long non-coding RNA, 753 nt
Organism: Talpa occidentalis (Iberian mole)
Lineage: Eukaryota; Metazoa; Chordata; Mammalia; Eulipotyphla; Talpidae
Exons: 4
Source: RefSeq, a predicted model, not a curated record